AGUGAACGCUGGCGGUAGGCCUAACACAUGCAAGUCGAACGGCAGCACAGUAAGAGCUUGCUCUUACGGGUGGCGAGUGGCGGACGGGUGAGGAAUACAUCGGAAUCUACUUUUUCGUGGGGGAUAACGUAGGGAAACUUACGCUAAUAUCGCAUACGACCUACGGGUGAAAGCAGGGGAUCUUCGGACCUUGCGCGAUUGAAUGAGCCGAUGUCGGAUUAGCUAGUUGGCGGGGUAAAGGCCCACCAAGGCGACGAUCCGUAGCUGGUGUGAGAGGAUGGUCGGCCACACUGGAGGUGAGACACGGUCCAGGCUCCUACGGGAGGGAGCAGUGGGGAAUAUUAGACAAUGGGCGCAAGCCUGAUCCAGCCAUACCGCGUGGGUGAAGAAGGCCUUCGGGUUGUAAAGCCCUUUUGUUGGGAAAGAAAAGCAGCAGGUUAAUACCCCGCUGUUCUGACGGUACCCAAAGAAUAAGCACCGGCUAACUUCGUG
This 492-nucleotide ribosomal RNA is filed under the name uncultured bacterium. Its description in RNAcentral is "partial 16S ribosomal RNA". It matches the Rfam family "Bacterial small subunit ribosomal RNA", at positions 29 to 507 of the family's 1533-position model. The record is from RNAcentral.